UCCCCCUCCCAUUUUUUCCCCUCCUCGCUUUUCGCCUUCUAAUUUUGCUUCCAAACACGGUAUAAUAGAAGAAAAUAUUUUCGAGGCUUAACGCGUUUCCCCUCGCUCACGCUCAAAGCUUGAUGGCGUCGGAAUCAGAACCAAACCCACUAGAAGAAGAAGAACAACAACGAUACCAGCAAGACCAAGAAGCAGCCCUUGAGGCGCCUGCACAUCACCCUUCUGCCCCUCCCGAUGAGCUAUUUGACAUUUCAACUACAGUUGAUCCUAGUUAUAUUAUAUCUUUGAUACGAAAACUUAUUCCAACUGGUUUGGUGAAUGAUCACAACACUCAUGGAGUUGAUGCAAGCGAUGCCACUGGUGAUGGGUUGAGUGCUGAUUGCAUGGAAGAUUGUGGAGCCUUUCCAUCUAGAGAUCAAGUUCAAGACUCAUUCAACGAGUCUGAGAGUAUGAGCACAGUUGAUAGUUUGGAUAAAUCUGCUUGUCAAGAUGGAGACAAAAAGGAUUCAUCUUUUAGAUGUGAACAGCCUUGUGUGCCAACAGGAGAAGAGGCUUGGGAAGAGUAUGGAUGUGUUUUGUGGGAUCUUGCUGCGAGUAAAACUCAUGCAGAACUUAUGGUACUCGAGUUUGUUCGUUUCUGAUUAAUCUCUCUUGAUGUUUGUUUUCUUUUUUGGUCUCUUUUGCAUUCUAAUUUGCACUUAAUUUGUUUGGAUUAUGGAAAAAAUACAAGAGAAAGUACCAUUUUGAAAUCUUAAGCUUUCUUGAUCAUAUUUGUAAUGAUUAGAAGAUUUUUCUGGCUUUUUCUAGAUUAAUGUUCAUUGCCUCAAUGUUUAAGAUCUCCAAGCACACAUUCCACCUUACCCUUGUACAAGCACCACCAAAUUAUUAACUCAUCAUGUGCAAACACUCAGAGCGUGGUAUUCAUUAUAUGUACGAUGGGAACCGAAAUGGGGUUUGGAUGAAACUGGCCCUUCUAGUUUUUAGUUUGUUCCAAAUAUAAAAUAAUUGUGUAUCUGCUUCUAGGAAAGAUUAAAUUUCCCUCUUUUCUUUUUAUUUACUGGAACGGUAUCCUUAAAUGUUUUUUUAUAGGUGGAAAACCUUAUACUUGAAGUGCUUUUGGCUCACCUUAUGUUUUCACAGUCAGUAAGAAUCACGGAGAUCUGCCUGGGCAUCAUUGGAAACCUUGCCUGUCAUGAAGUUCCAAUGAAGCAUAUAAUCUCUACUAAUGGACUGAUUGAGAUAAUUGUCGACCAGUUGUUUUUGGAUGACACUCAAUGCCUGUGUGAAGCUUGUCGGUAAAUACAUAUGUAUUUUUAUUUUAAUCUUUGAGGUCUUGUCUUGAGCUGAGAACUUCUCAGGUUUUCUUUUAAUCAUAGUUGGUAUUGACUUAUAUAUUGUUUUUUCUUCUUCUUCUUGUUUUUUUCUUCCUUUUCUUCAUUUAUUUUUUCUUUUUUGAAUUUUACUAUUUUCUCAGCCUUUAAUCCUUUUAUAAUUCGAAAAACUUAGCUCUUGUGGACCUGUAGAAAAAAACAUGAAAAGACAACACCAACCUGUUGGGGAUUUUGUUUUAAAAGAACUUGCAUUUUCUAUUUUCAAAUUUUCAUGGAUAUUGCAGGCAAAGAGAUGGUGGUGGUGCCCUGGGCAUGUGAUAUUUUAUUCUUGUUAUUUGCUGUAUAUCUUCUUUACAGUUGAUAUUCGGACACAGGUUGUUAACUUCUGGUCUUCAAAGUGACAAGUGCAAUACUUGGGCUGAGGCAUUACAGCCUGAACAUAUUCUGGGGCGCAUUGUGUGGGUUGCAGAAAAUACCUUGAAUCCACAGCUUUUAGAAAAGGUAGGAGAAUUGCUAUGAAGAUUUUUAAUACAUGAUUCUGGCAAAUUGUGCAUGAAUACAAGCUGUGGCAACAAUAUGUCGACAGUGAAGAUUUGGAUAUAAUAAUUUAUCUCCAAAGUGCUUACAAAGAAAGCAUUUCUGCAAAAAUUUUGCUUAGCUAUGUAAUAUCUAAGGGUUACCCUUUCAUAUAGACAUCAAUAGGACCCUUGCAAUUCCUUGUUAUGCUAACAUGUUACUAAUCCAAAAGUUGCAGAAACAUACUAUAACUAAAUGGUUUUAAAUUUGUCACAUACUAUACUCUCACAAAUCAAUUCUUUAUUUGAUUAACUUGUUUUUUAUCCAUUGGCUAAAGAAUAUUCCUUUUUGAACAGAGUGUGGGAUUAUUAUUAGCUAUCCUUGAAAGUCAGCAGGAUGUUUCAUCUGUUCAUCUUCUGUCUCUGAUGAAACUGGGUUUGACAGGUCUAUUGAUAAAUCUAUUUGCUUCUGAAAUGAGCAUGUUAAAAGGGGAAAGAGUACCUGAAAGGUAUGCUGUUCUUGAUGUAAUUCUUCGUGCAAUUGAAGCUCUUUCAAAUUUAGAUGGCAAUUCCCUAGAAAUUUGUUUUAACAAGGAACUCUUUCAACUAGUUUGUGACCUGGUCAAACUCCCUGAUAAAGUAGAGAUUGCCAGCUCUUGUGCUACUGCUUCAGUUUUAAUUGCAAAUAUUCUGUCUGAUGUACCUGAUCUUGCUUUGGAGAUAUCACAUGAUUUGACUUUUUUACAGGGUUUGCUUGAUAUAUUUCCUCUUGUCUCGGAUGAUUUGGAAGCACGGAGUGCACUCUGGAGUAUUAUUGCAAGGUUACUGGUUUGUGUAAAAGAAAAUGACAUGGGCCUAUCAAAUCUGCAUCAGUAUGUGCUGGCUCUAGUAAGCAAAACUGACCUAAUUGAAGAUGAUCUUCUUGACCAGAAAUUAGAUAAUCCGAGUGAAGAAUCCAAGAGUUUGACCAGUUCCAAUAUAAAAUCAGAUACUAGAAGAACAGCUGUAUCCUCCUUUGUCUUCUUUUUGGGUGUCUGUUGAAAAUAUGCAUAAAUUUGUUUAGGAAAACACCAUGCCUAUACAUUCUUAUAGCAUAUGCCAAUAUUGCAAAUCUUUUUCCCCCCUUAACCACUGCCACAGCUUCGAAGAAUAGUCAGUAUUUUAAAUCAGUGGACAGCAUCAAAGGACUCUCGCGAAGGGGAUGAUGUGAUGGAAGAAAAUUAUGCGAUUGAUGUAAAUAUUGGUAGACUGUUGGCUUGCUGUUGUAAACAUAUAAACAAAAUAUUAUAAAAAGAACUGCCUCCUGUGGCAUGCCCGGAGAAAUGGCAAAAUUGGGUAGGUAGAAGAAUGUGUAUGCCUCUUCAAUGCCUUAAAGAGUGAUUUUAGCUGCUAUAACUGUACCUCGAGUUUCAACCUGUAUUAUGGAUGCCAGAGUUUUGAAACGCUUGGCUUAUAUUUUGGAACCCAUUUAUCCUGAUACUUGACUUCAGUUCUUUAGGAAAACUAAUGACCUAACCAUAUUAUAAGUAGUUUCCUUUCUGUCCUAAAGUAGAUUCGAGUAUAUGCCUAGGUCUUAGUUAGCAUUUGAUGUAUUGUUAAUUCUUAAUUGUAGACUUUAGUUGAAUAUAAAAGGAGGCUUUCUGGUAUUACAGAUGAAGCAUGCAGACUGACUGAUCAAUGUAUGGAUACUUUGGUAUUUGGAUGCCCAUCCUAAAUCAGAGCAUAAAGCCCCAGUACAU
This 3585-nucleotide unclassified non-coding RNA is filed under the name Hevea brasiliensis (rubber tree). The record is from RNAcentral. Lineage: Eukaryota; Viridiplantae; Streptophyta; Magnoliopsida; Malpighiales; Euphorbiaceae.